Acomys russatus (golden spiny mouse) is the source of this 132-nucleotide small nucleolar RNA. RefSeq annotates it as small nucleolar RNA SNORA17. NCBI's taxonomy places the organism in Eukaryota, Metazoa, Chordata, Mammalia, Rodentia, Muridae. The record is from RefSeq and is a predicted model, not a curated record. The transcript has a single exon.
CUUUACCCUAGAGGUGUUGCGGGUGUGGCUGCGGGGUCACCUGUGUGUCAUUUGGUGGCAGAGAGGAGAGAGGCUAUCUCUUUUCUCAGUGCUCUGACUUAUGAAUUUCUGAAUGCUUAGUAGCCCAACACU